RNAcentral lists this ribosomal RNA (482 nucleotides) under Neoclinus okazakii. RNAcentral's name for it is "partial 16S ribosomal RNA". It matches the Rfam family "Bacterial large subunit ribosomal RNA", at positions 1863 to 2543 of the family's 2925-position model. The record is from RNAcentral. Lineage: Eukaryota; Metazoa; Chordata; Actinopteri; Blenniiformes; Labrisomidae.
CCUGUGAUCUUGUAUUUAACGGCCGCGGUAUCUUGACCGUGCGAAGGUAGCGCAAUCACUUGUCUUUUAAAUGGAGACCUGUAUGAAUGGCACAACGAGGGCUUAACUGUCUCCCUUUUCCAGUCAAUGAAAUUGAUCUCCCCGUGCAGAAGCGGGGAUAGUAACAUAAGACGAGAAGACCCUGUGGAGCUUUAGACACAAAGAAAACUUGCACUAAGGACACUCGCACAACAAUUUAAACCUGACCCAAACCCUUUCUUGAUGUCUUUGGUUGGGGCGACCGCGGGGUAAUAAACACCCCCCACGUAGAAUAAGGGAAGCCUCCCCUGAAAUGAGAGCUACAACUCCAAUUAACAGAACCUCUGACUUUAUGAACCGGCAAUGCCGAUCAACGGACCGAGUUACCCUAGGGAUAACAGCGCAAUCCUCUUCCAGAGCCCAUAUCGACAAGAGGGUUUACGACCUCGAUGUUGGAUCAGGAC